Molecule: long non-coding RNA, 305 nt
Organism: Lutra lutra (Eurasian river otter)
Lineage: Eukaryota; Metazoa; Chordata; Mammalia; Carnivora; Mustelidae
Exons: 3
Source: RefSeq, a predicted model, not a curated record
CUCUGAGGCACCAACCAGAUACAGCUGCUGCCUCUCAAAGAGGAGGACACGUUCCUGGGACCUGGUUACAUAGAGCUCAGCUGUGAAACCAUCUGUUCCUGGUGCCUUUUGUGAUGGUGGAUCUUUAACCACCUUUCCAGUCUCCCUGUGGGGCAGGAGUUCGAAUUCUGAGCCUGAGAAUGGGUCCAUGAAAGGCCACAGGAGCCUCCCUGGAAGGGCAGAGAUUCCUCAGUGUCCGGCUGCUGAAGCACCUGUGAGGCACCUCUGGGACCCCCAGAAGGGAACUGGAGAAGGCUGUUGAGGCA